Long non-coding RNA from Haliotis rufescens (red abalone), 502 nucleotides. RefSeq lists it as uncharacterized. The transcript has 5 exons. NCBI's taxonomy places the organism in Eukaryota, Metazoa, Mollusca, Gastropoda, Lepetellida, Haliotidae. The record is from RefSeq and is a predicted model, not a curated record.
GUAUCAGUCAACAGUGAUAAUUCCACACCUUUUGUAAGUGUUUGUCCAUGUUUGAUAUUCCACUUUGACGGUAUAAAUACAGCUGCAUUUCUCUCCACGAAACUGUUGGAAGGGAACACCAUUCUCGAAGGAUGAAAUAUUUGGUGGCACUUCUGCUGGUUUUUGUCUUGAUCGCCGAAUACGAACAGCAGAGGGUAAAGAUUAAAGCAAAGUACAGAAAUGGAGUAUGGAAAGUUAAAAUAAGAAAAGGCUGGCUCAGAAGGGCAGAAAAAUAUGAAUUUGCUGCUUCCCGGGCUGCCCGAGAUGUCGAUCAUAUCGACGAAGAUCUUGAUAAACGAGAGACUGACAUUCUGGAAAAUGGUCUUCAAAGCUUGCUGCAACAGGUUGUUGAGAAACGCGAAAAAGCGGGAGAUACUGAAGACACUGAAUAUGUUUGAGAGUCACUGACUAUUGACAACGUCGAAGUACCGGUACAUAGACAAUAAAGAGAUGCAUAAAGCAA